Molecule: ribosomal RNA, 253 nt
Filed under: uncultured bacterium
Lineage: Bacteria
Description: partial 16S ribosomal RNA
Rfam family: Bacterial small subunit ribosomal RNA
Source: RNAcentral
UACGAAGGGGGCUAGCGUUGCUCGGAAUUACUGGGCGUAAAGCGCACGUAGGCGGGUCAAUAAGUCGGGGGUGAAAUCCUGGAGCUCAACUCCAGAACUGCCUCCGAAACUGCUGAUCUUGAGUUCGGGAGAGGUGAGUGGAACUGCGAGUGUAGAGGUGAAAUUCGUAGAUAUCUGGAGGAACACUGGUGGCGAAGGCGGCAUCCUGGACCGAUAUUGACGCUGAGGAGCGAAAGCCAGGGGAGCAAACGGG